GUGCCAGCAGCCGCGGUAAUACGGAGGGUGCGAGCGUUGUUCGGAAUCACUGGGCGUAAAGCGCGUGUAGGCGGCCCAUUAAGUCUGAUGUGAAAGCCCGGGGCUCACCCCCGGAAGUGCAUUGGAAACUGAUGGGCUGGAGUCCCGGAGAGGAAGGUGGAAUUCCUGGUGUAGCGGUGAAAUGCGUAGAUAUCAGGAGGAACACCGGUGGCGAAGGCGGCCUUCUGGACGGUGACUGACGCUGAGACGCGAAAGCGUGGGGAGCAAACAGGAUUAGAUACCCUCGUAGUCC
RNAcentral lists this ribosomal RNA (292 nucleotides) under uncultured bacterium. Its description in RNAcentral is "partial 16S ribosomal RNA". It matches the Rfam family "Bacterial small subunit ribosomal RNA", at positions 505 to 796 of the family's 1533-position model. The record is from RNAcentral.